This 251-nucleotide ribosomal RNA is filed under the name uncultured bacterium. Its description in RNAcentral is "partial 16S ribosomal RNA". It matches the Rfam family "Bacterial small subunit ribosomal RNA", at positions 524 to 774 of the family's 1533-position model. The record is from RNAcentral.
UACGUAGGUAGCAAGCGUUAUCCGGAUUUACUGGGUGUAAAGGGCAUGUAGGCAGGUCUGCAAGUCAGAUGUGAAAUUCCAGGGCUCAACCCUGGACCUGCAUUUGAAACUGUAGAUCUUGAGUGAUGGAGAGGCAGGCGGAAUUCCGUGUGUAGCGGUGAAAUGCGUAGAUAUACGGAGGAACACCAGUGGCGAAGGCGGCCUGCUGGACAUUAACUGACGCUGAGGCGCGAAAGCGUGGGGAGCAAACA